RNAcentral lists this ribosomal RNA (451 nucleotides) under uncultured Fibrobacter sp. RNAcentral's name for it is "partial 16S ribosomal RNA". It matches the Rfam family "Bacterial small subunit ribosomal RNA", at positions 341 to 792 of the family's 1533-position model. Lineage: Bacteria; Pseudomonadati; Fibrobacterota; Fibrobacteria; Fibrobacterales; Fibrobacteraceae. The record is from RNAcentral.
ACGGGAGGCAGCAGUAGGGAAUAUUGCACAAUGGGGGGAACCCUGAUGCAGCAACGCCACGUGUGGGAAGAAGCAUUUCGGUGUGUAAACCACUGUCGUGAGGGAAUAAUGCUUGGUCUCGGCCAAGUUGAAUGUACCUCGAAAGGAAGCACCGGCAAACUUCGUGCCAGCAGCCGCGGUAAUACAUAGGGAGCAAGCGUUAUCCGGAUUUACUGGGUGUAAAGGGUGCGUAGGCGGCGUGGCAAGUCAGUCGUUAAAGACCAGAGCUUAACUCUGGACCAGCGAUUGAAACUGUCAAGCUAGAGUACAGGAGAGGUUAGUGGAAUUACUAGUGUAGAGGUGGAAUUCGUAGAUAUUAGUAAGAACACCAAUGGCGAAGGCAGCUAACUGGCCUGAAACUGACGCUGAGGCACGAAAGUGUGGGGAGCAAACAGGAUUAGAUACCCUGGUA